CCAAUUAAACCUAUUUUCUUUAUAAAUUACUGUCUCAGGUAUUUCCUUAUAGCAAUACAAGAAUCACUCAAUACAUACUGAUAUCAUGAGUUUCACUGGACAUUUAAAAUAUUUUCCUCAUGAGGGAAAAUUCCCACCUUGACCUGACCUCUCAUCAGUUUUAUGUAUCUGCAGAAAAAUCCUUCUAAAAGAUUGAGAUGAGCAACAAUAGGACAAACUUUCAAAUGGUACUGUUGACUGAGAAUACAAUGGACAAUGCCAAACUGUUUACAGAUGUUAUGCUUGGCCUCUUUCCCAGUGCCAGAUAUUUGUAUGAAAGAUGAAGAGUAUAAUCUAUUUACAUACAGUGGUUUUCCUCCCCAAAACUUUUGAGCUUUGUUAUGCUUUAAUAACCAUAUGCUCUUGAAAAUUGAUUUCUUUUUUGAAGACCAUCUGCAUCUAUGUAGCUAGGCACCUAUUUCUUCCAUUUCUUCAAAACUGAAUGUUGCCCUCUUUUCACACUGCAUUCUCCUCACACUACCAGUGCCCCAGUGGAUUAUGUUUUGCUACAGUGAAGGAAAAGAAAACUCUGAAAGACGUAGUGUAGUUGCUGUAGUUUGAAUGUAUUCCUCAAAGUUUAUCCCCAAUGCAACAGUGUUGGCAGGUGGGGUCUAGUAAGGUGAUGAUUAGUUAUGAGAGCUCUGCCUUCAUGAAUGGAUUGAUGAUGUCAUUAUCACAAGGGUGGGUUGGUUACCAUGUGAGUGGGCUUGUUAUAAAAGCAAGUUCAGCCUCCUCUUGCUCUUGCUCUCUUGCCCUUCUGCCUUUUGCCAUGAGAUGACACCAGAUGCAGACCCCUCAACCUUGUACUCCUCAGUCUCCAGAACUGCGGUGGGAGAAGCAUGAAAUGCAUUUGCAGUGGCCUUGGGCCAUUGGUGGUGUCCGCAGGUGAGACAUCUCGAGUGCCUCAUGGACAAACUUCCUCAUGGAAUCCACUGGAGCAAUUAUGAGAGUCCACGGCCUCUCUUCUCUGGUUCUACCCUCUCCCAAUCUCUCACCUGUGCCGAUCACCUCAGUAAUUUGGAAACGGGCUAAGGAGGUCUCUCUUGGCACUGAGCUGUGACACCUUGGGGGAGAAAAAGUGCAGGACCAGAAAAUCUUUCUCUUCCAGUCAGUGUCAUUCAUUUAUGACCAGCGGUUGAAUCCAGUCAUAAAAUCUGAAGCUCCUGGGUACCUCUACAUCACUGGGCCUAUGAUACACUGUUUCAGAACGUACUUACACAUGGGGUGGGACGAUUUUCUUAACUAAUACUUGUGACUACUCCACAGCAAAGCUGGAAACAAAAGUAUUGGGUGAGCUAUCUUCCAAAAUCUGGAGAUGGUUUCGGAGAGAGUUUCAUUGCCAUAAAUUUAAAGGGGGAUUGGAUUUACUCAGGAAAAAUUACAAGUGAGCGUAGGAGAUAAACUAGUAAAUGCCAUAUUUGGCCCACCAGGCACAAAGAAGGGUUAUAAUUGGCUCCUUUAAGUCCUAUAUGCAGAUAUCAAAUCCCUAUACUUGCUCUUUAUUGCAUAGAAUAAAUUUACCUCACUCCUUACUUUGAAACAUGAAAUGAGGAUCAAAUUAUAGUUUCAAUUAUUGCAAAUAGUUGUACAAAUGAAAAGAUUGUCUUAUUGUGGGCAUUACACAAACCCACCAAGGAAUAAGUAAUCUUUAAAUUCUAUGAAGUGAUUUGUAAUCUGAUACAGUAAGAAAAAAAAAUCUCAGACUUUGAUUAAUUACCACCACGCUCACCGCUAUAUCACUGUCCAAUGUCAUCAUAAUUUCACUGCCACUUAAAACUACACUUCAGCCAUAGAAAGCCAAAAAAUUAGGCACUGGUGACCUGUCCAAAAGAAAAAAAAAAAAAAAGGAACAGGAAGUGGAGAAAUACCACCUCAUAAAUUUCACCCAACCACAUUUAACAGCCACCUGGAGUUCACACCAACUCACUUGGAUCUCCUAUGACGAAUAUGCCUCUAUCACAAUGUUGAGGCCACUGAGUUUCUCAUGUACUAAAAUUUGGCUUAAUGUGGUUACUCUUUCUCUCUGGGAGUUUUAAGAACAACUUCAUGGUCAUAAUAUUCUCUUUAAUAAAUAUGAUUCAUCUGAAUGUUAGAUUCCCGUUUAACUACCACAAUCUUCAGAAGAAAAGUUAUAGCUCUUACUGACUUCAGAAGCUGCUCUGGAUGACUUUAUAAUUUAUCAUCCAAAUGGAAGACGUUUGAGAGCGAAAGGAUACACUAAAAUAAUUAAAUGUAUACAAUUUUUGGAAAAUGUUUAUUGCUUAAAAAUAUUGUUUAUUGUAUGAAAUUUUGUAUAUUUAUAUUCAUGUGUCUGUAAAAACAAUUCUAUUCAAAAAUUACUUUAAAAAUUCUUUAAAGAUACAAAUAUAUUUGUAUACUUUAAAACAGGUUGAAAUAUUGAUUAUAUAAACUAUUAGAAAGUUACAUAAGCAGAAAGAAUAUUACCUGCACAUAUUUAUGUGCUUUAAUCUGCUCCUUAGCUGAAUCUGUCUCUAAUGUGUUUUUUAAAAAAUAUUUUUAAAUUAUUUUUAUUUUUCCUAUAAAAUUGUCUGAAAUAUUUGAAAUUUGAAAAUUAAAAUUCUUCAUUUAAAAAUUUGAAGUCACUGAUAUCCUUACUCACUAGACACAUCUUUGUAAAAGAACCAAAAAAAUAAAAUAUCUGUAAAUGUCCCAAGGGAACUGCUUAUCUCCAAAUAAAUUCUGCUAAAUGUGAUAUUAUCUCAAUUUCAAUUUAUUUUAAGCUGAAAUGCAUAAAUGUUUCAGCCCAAAUAUUUUCAUGGGCACUGCCUCUUUUGCCUCCAUGUAGCACAGCUUCUUCCAACAAAUUUUUUUUAAGACAACACUUGUCAAAAAAGUUGUAUCUAUUUAUAAUAUUUUUGAAAACUUCACCAAAUUAAAGCGCUGAAACAUUGUAGGCUUUGUCAAUUUUCUUUCAGUCUGAUACAAAAUACCAUUUAUCCAAUUAAAAUUAGGAAAUCAACAAAUUCUUUCCACAAGUCAGAUGUUCCAAAGCUGUUAUGUAAUUUCAAAACUAAAUGUUAGAGCCUCUUGUGAGCUCAUUCUGCAGUUCGUUCAGCUUCCCCUUGCUUUUGUAGAGAUAAAUGUUUUCCUGCCUGCAAGAUAUUGUCUUCAAUAUUUUCAGUUUGCAGAAAGCUUCAACCAGAAGUUGCUGUUUUUUCUUGCCACACCAUUUUUAAAUGCGUUGUUUAAAAAUUUUUCAGCCGAUUUUGCAUACAGUGCAACCAAAAGUUAGAUAACUCAUUUAUCAAAAUAUGAAUAUUAUUGUAGGACAUUAAGGUUGAUUUAGAAAGUAGUUAUUCAAAUGAUCAAACAUUCCUAAAAUCUUACUGAUGAGAGGCUGCAGAAAAAGCAUACCGUUAUGCUGGAGAUUUUUAAAUUCAAUAUUAGCUUUAUCACAAAAGUUUAAUUAUUCCAAUUGUGUAGAUAUAAAAAUAUUUAUGGAUUUUGACAUCUUUAGCUUCUAUUUCAAUUAGUAGAUUUUUUUAAUUAAACUUAAGUUCUGGGAUACAUGUGCAGAACGUGCAGGUUUGUUACAUAGAU
Molecule: long non-coding RNA, 3600 nt
Filed under: Homo sapiens (human)
Lineage: Eukaryota; Metazoa; Chordata; Mammalia; Primates; Hominidae
Description: HSALNT0336800
Source: RNAcentral